RNAcentral lists this ribosomal RNA (527 nucleotides) under Zuparka monomoria. RNAcentral describes it as "partial 28S ribosomal RNA". It matches the Rfam family "Eukaryotic large subunit ribosomal RNA", at positions 674 to 1137 of the family's 3401-position model. Lineage: Eukaryota; Metazoa; Arthropoda; Insecta; Hymenoptera; Eucharitidae. The record is from RNAcentral.
UCUAACAUGUGCGCGAGUCAUUGGGACUUUUUUUUCAGGAAAGCCUAGAGGCGCAAUGAAAGUGAAGAUCGGCCUUUACGGCUCGAUCGAGGGAGGAUGGCUUGUUGUUUUACUGCGAGUCCGCACUCCCGGGGCGUCUCGCGCUCGCUUCGAGCGGAGGCGCACCCAGAGCGUACACGUUGGGACCCGAAAGAUGGUGAACUAUGCCUGGUCAGGACGAAGUCAGGGGAAACCCUGAUGGAGGUCCGUAGCGAUUCUGACGUGCAAAUCGAUCGUCGGAACUGGGUAUAGGGGCGAAAGACUAAUCGAACCAUCUAGUAGCUGGUUCCCUCCGAAGUUUCCCUCAGGAUAGCUGGCACUCGCUAGAACGAGUCUCAUCUGGUAAAGCGAAUGAUUAGAGGCCUUGGGGCCGAAACGACCUCAACCUAUUCUCAAACUUUAAAUGGGUGAGAUCUCUGGCUUGCUUGAAACUUGAAGCCACGAGAUAAACUUUGUAUCAUGGAUCAGAGUGCCAAGUGGGCCAAUUU